RNA transcript from Mustela erminea (ermine), 3077 nucleotides. It is a transcript of the gene named 8-oxoguanine DNA glycosylase, with no coding region annotated. NCBI's taxonomy places the organism in Eukaryota, Metazoa, Chordata, Mammalia, Carnivora, Mustelidae. The transcript has 11 exons. The record is from RefSeq and is a predicted model, not a curated record.
GGGAGAGUGAGGUCGGCCUCCUGAGAAGCCGGAAGAGUGCGUUUGCGCGCGCUUCCCAAUGUGUCGCGGCUUCCUGGAGGUCCUUGGUGCGCGCCAGGAGGCGGGGGCCGGGGAGGAUACCAUGGAGCAUCGAACUCUAGCUUCUUUCCCGGCACUGUGGGCCUCCAUCCCCUGUCCACGUUCGGAGCUGCGCCUGGACCUGGUUCUGGCUUCCGGACAGUCUUUCCGGUGGAGGGAACAAAACCCGGCGCACUGGACUGGCGUGCUGGCGAACCAGGUAUGGACACUGACUCAGACUGAGGAGCAGCUCUACUGUACUGUGUACCGAGGCGACAAGGGAUGGGUUGGCCGACCCACACCAGAAGAGCUAAAGACUGUGUACCAGUACUUCCAGCUGGAUGUCAGCCUGGCUCAACUUUAUCACCAUUGGAGUUCCGUGGACCCCCACUUUCAAGAGGUGGCUCAGAAAUUCCAAGGUGUGCGACUCCUACAACAGGACCCCAUCGAGUGCCUUUUCUCCUUCAUCUGUUCCUCCAACAACAACAUUGCUCGCAUAACUGGCAUGGUAGAACGACUCUGUGAGGCCUUUGGACCUCGGCUCAUCCAGCUUGAUGAUGUCACCUACCAUGGCUUCCCUAGCCUGCAGGCCCUGGCUGGGCCAGAGGUAGAGGUGCAGCUCAGGACGCUGGGCCUGGGGUACCGUGCCCGCUAUGUGAGUGCCAGUGCCCGAGCCAUCCUAGAAGAACAGGGCGGGCUGCCCUGGCUGCAGCAGCUGCGCAAGGCCCCCUACGAGGAGACCCACAAGGCCCUCUGCACGUUGCCCGGGGUGGGCACCAAGGUGGCUGACUGCAUCUGCUUGAUGGCCCUAGACAAGCCCCAGGCCGUGCCUGUAGAUGUCCACAUGUGGCAGAUCGCCCAGCGUGACUAUAGCUGGCACCCCACCACAUCUCAGGCCAAGGGUCCAAGCCCCCAGGCUAACAAGGAACUGGGAAACUUUUUCCGGAGCCUGUGGGGACCUUAUGCUGGCUGGGCACAAGCAGAACCCAGAGCUGCCACCAAGAGCAGUGUCUGUUCCACCCACUGUUGGCCAGAAGUGAAAAGAUGGGCCAGACUGGGCUAUGGCAAGUCUGCCACGGGGCUGGAACUCUAGGAAACAGGAAGCAGUGAUCAACUGACCAGAGGAAGUACCACCCUGGAUUCAGCUUCCCCAGCCAGCCAGUCCCAAGAGAUGAGAGAUGGUGUCCUGCCUAGAGGCCCUGGUGUGAGAUCCCACUCCUUGGAUUGGACCUGGUUCCCAGGAGGGGCCUGACCACCCAUCCCAGAGGAAGAAACUUCUAGGAAAGGAGACAUGGUAAGUUCUAGAGGCAGAGUUUUAAACCCCACCUGGAGGCUUGGCAAAUAAAGCCCUCACAGGUCCACAGACACACCCAGACACACCAAUCUCCACCCUACCUCUGAGCCAAAAUACCUGCCCCCAGAUUCAGUAUAUUCCAUACCCAGAUACCCCAACACCUGAUCAUACAUGUACACCCAGACAUCAGCAUACAUGUCCACACACACACUCCCCCAGACAGCCUCACAGCCAAACAUCCCUCCCACAGUUCCCUCUUACACCGCUCCAAAACACACACCUGCACACACACACACACACACACACACACUCCUCACCUAUGUACCGGACAUCCCAGAUUCACUCAUACCCUCCAUCCUGUUUCUGUAUACCCUACAAACUCCUGUGCUCCAAACCGCUCCCCAAUUCCUUACACACCUAACUUCGGACACCCUCAAUACACAAUCAUAUAGCCUCAACUCUUAGUACCCUUGAGCCAGAUACCAGCAUGCCCAACACCUGGACACACAUUUAAAACAAAAACACUGACUCCCAGACACCCCCACCCAUAAAGAUGCCCUUACACUGCAACUCCAUAUCUGGUCUGCAUGCCAGUGCUAAGAUAUUAGCACAAUCCAACAUAGCCGCCACACAUCUCUAGCUCCAAACGCCAAGUCCGUCCAUAUUCAGGCCCAGCCGAGCACAGGCGUGGGUGUGGGUGUGUGCGCGCGCGCGCGUGCUCGUGUACACACACACACACACCCUUCCCACAUUCCUCUAGUACCCUCUGGGUUCCCCACAGCCGCCUGGCACCUGCUGGGCCUCAGGUCAAGGCUGGAGAGAAAGGCCCUCUCCUGCCCUGCCCAUGCAGAGUCCAGCCCGUCCGGGCACCCACUCGCAUUCUUGGGGGAGGGUAUCCAGCGACUGAGGGGAUCUGGCCACCCCUCCCCGGCGCCCGGGAGCACCGAUGGGGCGGCCCCUGGGCUGUACCUGCGGCUGCCCCGCCGCGGGGCUGGCUGGGAGGCCCGAGGUGUCUGGCGCCGAGCUCUGGCUGCUGGUUGCCGACCGCCGCCGCGCCGCUCCUGACUCGCCAGCCCGCCCGCUCUCUAGCUGGGGUUCGGCUCGGGCUCUGCUGGCCCCCUCCGCCCGCCUGCGGCUCUGAUGUCAGUGGAGGAGGAGCCUGCGGCGGACGGACGAGGGACUGGGAGGCUCCGCGGCGCUCCCGGGCUGGGGAAGGGGCGCGGUGGUUGAGGAGGAACCCCGUAGUUCAGGUCAGGUCCUCUUCUGGACUCUUCCCUCCCCUCCUCUCUCCUGGGGCCCCCACUGCACAGAGGGGCAACUGAAGCCCUGAGAGAUGAAGGAUUCAAAAUCAGCAAGUGGUCAGAGGCCAAAUCGAAUUCGAGGCCAGGUAACAGAAUCCCAGCCUUCAUCAGAGAGGAACUGUGACUCCAGCAGCUGAUUGCAAGACUGAAGGAAGAACAUCAUGGAUCAGGAUCUUGGCAUAGGAUUUGCUUUCUUGCAUCUCUCCUUGUCUCGAUUUCUCUGCACGUUGGCUUCCCUUCUACUGCAGGGUGAUCACUCUGCCUGGCAGAAAACGUGAUGUGAGGCAGACCCAGCUUUCCAAAUGAACCCAGCAUGAGAGCUAUACCCAGUUUCAUGUAUCAGUCUCAGGGAAGGACUCUGACGAGUUGUGUUAGAGUAACAUGCCUACUGCUUGGCCCCAAAUAAACUAUUGCCAAGGAAAUGA